AACCUCAGUUCGGAUUGAAGGCUGAAAUUCGCCUUCAUGAAGCUGGAAUUGCUAGUAAUGGCAGGUCAGCAUACUGCCGUGAAUACGUUCCCGGGCCUUGUACACACCGCCCGUCACACCAUGAGAGUUGGGAAUACCCGAAGCCUGUGAGCUAACUUUUAGAGGCAGCAGUCGAAGGUAGAAUCAAUGAUUGGGGUGAAGUCGUAACAAGGUAGC
This 216-nucleotide ribosomal RNA is filed under the name uncultured bacterium. RNAcentral describes it as "partial 16S ribosomal RNA". It matches the Rfam family "Bacterial small subunit ribosomal RNA", at positions 1284 to 1500 of the family's 1533-position model. The record is from RNAcentral.